Cyprinus carpio (common carp) is the source of this 237-nucleotide long non-coding RNA. RefSeq lists it as uncharacterized. NCBI's taxonomy places the organism in Eukaryota, Metazoa, Chordata, Actinopteri, Cypriniformes, Cyprinidae. The transcript has 3 exons. The record is from RefSeq and is a predicted model, not a curated record.
CGAGGAUGACGCUGUGUCAAGCUGUGUGUUUUGCAGGAGCCAUACUUCUUAACAUAGCAGGCUCACUUUGCCAAUUAGAUGUGGUGUGGCCAGGCUCCUCUCAACACCAAGAUUGUUGGAGGACAAGGUGCAUGUUCAGGGGUCUUGGCCGUGGCAAGCGAGCCUUCACAGAAUUACAUCUGGAAGUCAUUUCUGUGGUGGGAGUUUGAUCAAUAAAGACUGGGUUUUGUCUGCAGC